RNAcentral lists this long non-coding RNA (1341 nucleotides) under Nothobranchius furzeri (turquoise killifish). RNAcentral's name for it is "lncRNA (ENSNFUG00015021400.1)". Lineage: Eukaryota; Metazoa; Chordata; Actinopteri; Cyprinodontiformes; Nothobranchiidae. The record is from RNAcentral.
AUGCUGUGCGCAUUUAUUUACCGUCCUCCACAAUAUAAUAAGGACUUUUUAGAUGAAUUUGCGGCGUUUCUAGCUCAAAUCUUCUGUAAAUAUGACCGUCUCCUCCUGUUGGGGGAUUUUAAUAUUCAUGUCUGUUGUCCCGACAGACCUAUGGUGAAGGACUUUUUGGAUCUUGUCGAUUCGUUUGGCCUGUCGCAACUCGUGAAUGGGCCCACGCGUGGCCAUGUUCACACACUGGACCUGGUUCUGUCUCAUGGGCUGAGUAGCAGUGACUUGGCUAUUCUCCCUGCUACUUUCUCUGAUCAUUCACCAGUUCUGUUUAACCUGGAUGUGGCUUCUUCUUCUCGUACUGACCAUGUCCACACUCGUCUCUCUCGAGUUAUUACUCCCUCUACUGCUGGAGAUUUUGUAAAUGUUUUUGCUCUGACAUCAGCCACCUGCGAUUUUACUGAUGUUGAUAGUUACUUGCAUCUUUUUAAUUCAUCCUGUCUAGCUGCUAUGGAUUCUGUAGCUCCAUUAAAAUCCAGACUGACCAAGAAUAAGCCUGACCCUUGGCUGAACGAGCGCACUCGUUCAAUCAGGCAACACUGCAGAAGACUGGAGCGUAAAUGGAGUAAAGACAGGCUUGUGGUCUCCUUUGAAGCCAUGAGAGAAGCGUGGUCGCAGUAUCAAAAAGCUGUUAGAGGCGCUAGAAAUCGUUUCUUUGCAGGGAUUGUUUCUGCUAAUUCUAAUAAUCAAGCUGUUUUGUAUAAAACCAUGAAUGCUAUGCUCUCACCUGUUAAAACACUAUUUCCCUCUGUUUCUGCUGGCUUGUGCAACCAAAUCCUUCAGUUUUUUUUAGAUAAGGUUGAUAAAAUCAGAGCUCAGAUUCCUCCUACUUCCAAUGUUCCUGUUACUGUCAUUCCCACUCAUGAUUUAUUUCAUAGUUUUCAACCCAUUUCUCUGUCUUGUCUGGAAAAAGCUAUUGCUACCAUGAAGCUAUCGGGCUCUCCAGAUGAUGUUGUUCCACCUCGUCUCCUGAAGGAGGUAUUUCCGUUGAUUGGGCAAUAUGUGCUGGAUAUUAUUAAUGGUAGCUUGACCUCGGCUGUGGUUUCUCAUGACUUUAAACAUGCUGUUGUGCAGCCAAUCCUGAAAAAACCUGGUCUGGAUCCUGCCAAAUUCUCUAAUCUCCGUCCAAUCUCUAAGUUACCAUUUUUAUCUAAAGUACUUGAGAAAGUAGUGUACGAACAGUUACUUAUACAUCUUAAUGACCAUCAGGUAAUGGACAUGUUUCAGUCUGGGUUCAGAAAACAGCACGGCACAGAAACUGCUCUUGUUCGGGUGACAUCUUUCUGGCAUUAG